GACGAACGCUGGCGGCGUGCUUAACACAUGCCAGUCGAACGGAAAGGCCCUGCUUUUGUGGGGUUCUCGAGUGGCGAACGGGUGAGUAACCCGUGAGUCACCUGCCCUUGACUUUGGGAUAACUUCAGGAAACUGGUGCUAAUACCGGAUAGGAGCUCCUGCUGCAUGGUGGGGGUUGGAACGUUUCGGCGGUUGGGGAUGGACUCGCGGCUUAUCAGCUUGUUGGUGGGGUAGUGGCUUACCAAGGCUUUGACGGGUAGCCGGCCUGAGAGGGUGACCGGCCACAUUGGGACUGAGAUACGGCCCAGACUGCUACGGGAGGCAGCAGUGGGGAAUAUUGCACAAUGGGCGGAAGCCUGAUGCAGCAACGCCGCGUGCGGGAUGACGGCCUUCGGGUUGUAAACCGCUUUCGCCUGUGACGAAGCGUGAGUGACGGUAAUGGGUAAAGAAGCACCGGCUAACUACGUG
Molecule: ribosomal RNA, 468 nt
Filed under: uncultured bacterium
Lineage: Bacteria
Description: partial 16S ribosomal RNA
Rfam family: Bacterial small subunit ribosomal RNA
Source: RNAcentral